UUAUUCCAGUGUGUAAAAUUUUUCAUCAUAUUUUUGGCAGGAGUAAUACUCUGUGCUCCCUAUCCUGUCUGUCCUUCUCUACUGCUGUGUGUAAACCAGAGCAGCAAGUUAAUCAGCAGCCUUUGGAGCAUUUCUGCCUCCCACUCUUACAGGAUGUUUGUAGAAGGGCAUGAAGAAAAAGAACUAAAGAUAAAGCAUGCAGAGGAAGAGCACGGGGCUGAAGAGCUGAAGGAAUGAAUGCAGGCUUACUUCUGAAAAAAAAGUUGUCUAAACUCCUUCUCUGCUGCAGUCACCCUGCAUCCCAGCUUCAUGGUCAGGGAAUUUCUCCUCAGACAGUUGCCCAAGCCCUGGUAACUGCUCACAGGGAGAGGCUACCUGAAUAGACCACUGCUUGCACUGGGGUAGAACAGUGUGGUGGAGAUGGCAAAUGCCUGGGCUGUGUUGGCAGAAGCUGGGCCUGUCACCGUGCCCUCACCCUGCCAAGUUCCUUUCUCAUGGCAGCAUACCAUUUCUUCUUCAGGGAGACAAAAUAACUGCAUAGUAACUGUAUAAUUCAUGCCUCUUUUUAUAUGCCCAUGCACAUUGCUCUGCCAUUGUAUGGGCCCAGAUGUAGAACUGGGACUAAGGAAUGACCAAAGAUGUUACUGAAAAGGAAUUGGAAACUGGAGGAAUCAGAAACGUUCAGGUGGUCUGCUACCCUUAUUCCAGGAAGCUGUGUUCCAGGGAUCAUGAUCUUGUCUUCCUACUGAAUAAUCUGAGAGCCUCAGCUCCAGUGAGGACACUGGAUUCUUCUAGGCUCUUCUUACUGCACUAGUUUGCUAUGUCCAAAUAUCAUGUUUUCCUCCCAGCAUAGAGCAGCAUACAGAAUCCCUAGAGAUGUGACAAACAUUUCCUCUUUCCCCCUACAUUAAAAAAAUAAAUUCAGAACAAAUGUUUUUUGACUUAUUAAA
RNAcentral lists this long non-coding RNA (950 nucleotides) under Coturnix japonica (Japanese quail). RNAcentral's name for it is "lncRNA (ENSCJPG00005015853.1)". The record is from RNAcentral. Lineage: Eukaryota; Metazoa; Chordata; Aves; Galliformes; Phasianidae.